UCCCACAAAGGUCUGAUGAGUCUUUGUAGUCGCAAACGCUCCGUCCCAAGAUGGCGGCCGCAGAUAUGCAUCUCACAAGCCAAAUGUAGCCCACCAAGCAAUUUACAGGUGUUUUUCCCCCACUAAAAGUUAUUUAAGUCAAAUGCCACCUUCUUAAAUCAUACAACGGAGUCAGCCUGUAGUUCUGUCUACAUGCAGCUGUGAGGAACUCAUAGAUAUAUGUAUAUAUCUAUGUGAGGAACUGGCAGGUGAUUAAUGUACACUCGCGCAAGGGAUUCACCACCUGUUCAAUCAAGGCACUAGCUAGCAACCUACCACGGGUGGAAAUGUAUAGAGUUUGAGAAUAUUUAGGGCCAGCUAAUUGAUGCCACCGAGAAAGUGAAUAUUUAAACAUUAAGAAAAACAACCGAAAGUGACAACAGAGAGAAAGGAGAAACCAGAGCUGGCUGAAGGUAAAAAUAAUGCGAAGUAGUUACAAAGCCAUUAGCAUGCUAAUGGUGCUGCCGCAGCUACAGCAAAGCUCAACACAAGUGGGAUGUAAAAAGAACCGUUUCUACACUGGCUUUCAUGAAACUUCUGAGGAGCAGAACGUCAAGACAAGUUGGAGAAAGACGUCGUAUGACGCUGGACUUUAACAAACCUUCAUAACUUGAUAAAGAAUGAACGAGCCGCUGACGUGUGAGAAGAGCUGCGCUGACAUGUUGGCCUCUGCAGUGCUUUUCUAUAGUGCCUGGGUUGCGGAUGGCCUUCAUGUCGGUGAGAACAACGUGUCUGUAGCUGCGCUCCAGUCCCUCCAUGAGCUCCAGGUAGUCGCUCACCUUGAAGCCCUGGAUUGGCUCCUCCUGCAGGUAAAAAGUAGAUAGUGCUGACGAGGACGUGACACAGUGAAUACGCAGUCAAAGACUCCACUGCAGUUAAGCUCCAGCCAGAACAACUGUAACAAGUAAUUUGCCUUUUCAAAUUUUAAUUUAGAGGAAAUAUAGAUAUACCACCUAGUGAGACAGGAUAAGUAUAGAGGGUUGCAAGUGUGUGAGCGAAUGUUUAAAAAAAUCCUCUACUGCAAUACCACAUCUGUCUGAGUGAAAUAAUUCCUUCACAUUGUUCCCACAGAGAAAGAAAGAUAAAGAUAAAGCCGUCGUGUGCAAACCGGAAUGUCUACAACUUUCAACAGUUCAGCUCAGGACGAGGAUUGUGUAAGUUUCUCUCACACGCUCUUGUCUCAAAGCUGUCUCUUGCAGCAGUAUCUGAUGCUACAGCUCAUUAGAAGAGCUUCCUCAGAUAAAGCCAACAUAACUGAUCUUUUAUUCACAAAAACUGUCAGCGGCGGCUCAUGGCGACGUUAACACUAGAGCUAUCAGCUGGAGACAAGACGGACUCAAAAGCUUAAUGAGUAAUGAUGAUGAGUGCUUCAUGUCAAGCCAUGCCUCAUUAACAACGCUGGUGUUUUAAUGUUGCUUUGGAUAUUGGUAGACACACAAGAGACCAACUUUAGACCUUUUGUGAAAUCUUUUGGGCCACUCUUCAAUUCAGCAUUAAUCUUAUUCACAGAGCAAAACUUAUUCCCAUGAAACAUGUUAGCUUCCAAAACAGGCCUCAUUUCACAGUAUAUUAGUAGCUAAACAUACCAUAGUGGUUUUGUGAAGAAAUUCUAAAUGUAGAAUCAUAGAAGACUGCUUAAUAUAAAAGUGGAGCUGAACAAUUCAGUAGAGAUCUUCUAGCAGCAACUGCAUAGGGCUUCUUAUAUAAAAAUCCAGACGAUUUAUUAUGAUAUAAUUAGGUAUUCUGAAUUUAUUACACUGCAAUAAGGGAGAGCUUUUUCAAAAGUUUUUUUUUUUUUUUUUUAACAAAGCAUUAUAGCACAAACUAAAUCUGUGCAGUUUACUGAUGUUAUUUUAAGAGCAGUACUCACAAAACAACCUCUCGAAUAUGGUGCCGAUGAGCUGCACCUGGGACUGGGUGCUACUUCUGGCUCCCUCAAGCAUGCAUGGUGUGACGGCGACUUCAGCCUAUUUUCUUUAUUCUGUUUUGUAUUAAUAUUAGACUGGUUCUCUUUAGCGUCCUACUCUAAUUUUCUCCCUUUUCUCAUCACGGACAAAGAGCCAGACUGUUAUUAAAAAUUCUAACUUUUGUAAAAGCUUAACAUUUUCAAAAAGUAGUCUAUAAGCACAACAGACCAUUUGAAGUAGCUCAGCUUGACCUAACAGUAAAAACGUUAAUAAAAACAAAAAAGGACACUAGCAAGCAAAGCUGAGCUGAAGUGUUUUUGGUUCCACAACUUGAAUGGCAAAACUACCAACCUGUUUUUGCAAGAAGUAGCUGCCUUGCUCUACAACGACAACACACCUGAAGACUCGCCUGCUGGCGUGUCACCCGACCACUAACGAAUGGACAACGCAUCAGGAUGUGACACUCACAACACUGUAUCUCACUCACACAUUACGCUAGAUUGGGUCAAUAAAUUAAUCCGCAGCUACUAUAUUUUGAUAACUGUUUGUCAUUUUUAUAAGUACAAAUUCCAAGUCAAGAGUUGCUAAAGAAGUACAACUAGAAACCAAUGAAGUGAAAACAAACGUGCCAGUUGGCCACCUGAAACUUGUACAACAACCCCGGAACA
Perca flavescens (yellow perch) is the source of this 2614-nucleotide long non-coding RNA. RefSeq lists it as uncharacterized. NCBI's taxonomy places the organism in Eukaryota, Metazoa, Chordata, Actinopteri, Perciformes, Percidae. The record is from RefSeq and is a predicted model, not a curated record. The transcript has 5 exons.